GGUGGGAUACUCAAGCGGCCAACGAGGGCAGACUGUAAAUCUGCUGGCUUAGCCUUCGAAGGUUCGAAUCCUUCUCCCACCAC
Molecule: transfer RNA, 83 nt
Filed under: Flavobacteriales bacterium UBA6772
Lineage: Bacteria; Pseudomonadati; Bacteroidota; Flavobacteriia; Flavobacteriales
Description: tRNA-Tyr(gta)
Rfam family: tRNA
About the family: Transfer RNA (tRNA) molecules are approximately 80 nucleotides in length.
Source: RNAcentral